UGAAGUUGAAAACCAGCCACGAUCCCCGGAUUCACGAGAGGGCGGCACCGGAGACGCCUCGUCACGGUGGUACCGAUAGUAGCAGUGCUGAGCAACGUGGCCGAAUCUAGAGCAGAUCUGACAUUGGAGACGUGGCCGGAAGUUCCUUCCACGUCCAUGCACAGCCGAACGACCCCCGCGCGUCACGCCAUCUGUGACCGAGACCAAUGAAUCUUCCACCAGAUUCGCACUAUACACACCUUCCUGAUCCGACGGAACAUGCCGAUUUUCACAUUCAAUCAAAGCAUCUACCAGUCGCUGAAAUGGAAGAGGAGUCGUGGACAACGAUGCGGAGGAGACCACACCUUCGAACUCGGAUGGAAGACCGGCAAGCAUCACCGCCGUUCGUUCCGCCACAGACACAGAUGUUUUAGACACUUCUAGAUGCGCACAUAGACUCUUUAGCUUGGCAACAUACUCUCGGAUCGACAAACUCCCUUUCUUGAGGGAGUGAAGUUCAUGACGCAACCUUUCUUGCCGCAGAUCCGUAUCAGCGGCGAACAUCGCCAACAUCGUAGGCCACACCUCGGAUGCCGAUUGCACAUCCAUAAAGGAGGAUAUAAUGGUCGAGCUUAUCAUCGAAAGAAGCCAUGAAGUAAUAAGAUUGUCCUGUUGAAUAAACAGAGAGGCUGCCGGAUUAAGUACAAGAGCACCGUCCGGUGCUUGUACAAAUCUCGGCGGCGCAGACACAGAUCCAUCCAGAAAACCAAACAAAUCAUAUCCAUUCACAAUAAAACGAACCUGUUGCUUCCAUUGGAGAAACGUCCCUUCAUCAAGCUUCACGACCUCAUACCGAGGAAACGAGUUCACCACCCGAUCAGCAGUGAAGACUGAACCAUUCAACUCAACGGAGUCAGAGGCAACAGAAUUUGUCGUGGCCAUUACUAAGAACGCCUAGCGACUGAUACCAUGAAAGAAACUAGGUAAAAUAGAGAAAAAUGUAGAACAAAUCUGUUUUCAAAUUAAUAUUUUCUGUUUACUUUGUUCCAAUACACAGCCAAAUGACUGUAUUUAUAGGAAGAAAAUAACUCCCUUGCUUAACUACUUAGCUAACAACUCAGCUAACCUUAACUGCCUCUCUAACAGAUACUUUCACUAACACUGAUCAUCAAUUGACCCUGGUCUAAUAACCCACAAGAAUGGCUGCUUACUAUUGGCUAAACCCCAAGCCGUUUCACCCAGCUCCUUCUUGUCUACAGAUGCUACACUCCCCAAGCUUACAUAUAGAACUGUGUUCUGUUUUUGCUUCUCAAGCCAUGUAAUGCAGCUGUUGUCCUCUUUUAUUAAGCUGCUUGAGGAGGCAGGGGCUACUUCGUGCAAAGGACAGACUGGGAAUAUGCCAACUUGGCAUUGUUUUUGAAUCUCUUGCAAUGACGGCUUUUCAAGGACAUCAUUAGUAUUCCAGAUAAUUGCUGAAGAUGUUCUUGUCUUGUAUAUGUUAGUUAUAAACUGCAAGAAAAUUUCUGGUGUUCCAAUCUUGGACACAGGCAGAUCCUUGAAUCUGAGGGGAUGAAGCCCAGGCACCAAGUCUUGCGAUGUUGAACCUAGGUAAAAAAUAUUGAACAAUGAUUCAAGGGCGCUGAUCAAAGAUGCUACAGCCCCUUAGAUAUUUGUGCUACUGAAAAAACUGCACAACAAGUAACCACCCUAGGAAUCUAAUAAGUUCGGUUAUAUAUGCUGUAGUAAAACAUCAUACGUACCUUGUGAAGUAAGAACACCUUCAGCUUUUAGUUGGAGAAUGGCAUUUCGAGAAAGGUAUGUUGAAGCACUGGUGGUUCGCAAGACAAUACUGGGAAGCUUCACACACUUGGCUACUGCAUCACAGAAAUACAUGCAUUCAUCAUAGACACUGCAGGCAAUACUUGGCUCAUUUUCUACCUCUUGUUUUUGUACCAUCUUGGCCAAGCAUUCUUGGAAGGGAACUCCACAAUUCAGGUUAAGAAGUGAUAUAAAAGGUAGUAAAUCGUCGGCAGAGAUGAGUUGCUCGGAUAAGUUAUCAGGUAUUGAUAAGAACCCAAAUUCAGGAUAGUUUGAGGGAAUAGGGGAGUUGAAUGCCGUGUGAAGAACUGUGAUGGAGAAGCCUUUAGAGUGAAGAAUGGAACCAAGCUGAAGCAUUGGAUUUAUGUGGCCUUGGAAUGGUAAUGCAACUAAUACAAGCCGGGGAUGGCUGCUCCUAUGCUCCUUUUCCAUCUCCAUCCUCUCAUCAAUCUUUGUAAGCUAUGCAGCGCGGAUCUUGUAUCAUACGAGUAUCUGCACGGGACACCUAGAUAUUUCCAGGACACGAGAAGCAUAAAAGUGGCUGAUGAUAUCUAGGAAAAAUUGGACACUAAGCGGCAGAUUAAGAUGAGCUUCAGCAACAACUGAACAAAUAAGAUAUUUUAAUUAUAUUAGGCUUAGCCAACUCAUUUGAGUUGUUGGGCAUAACUCCAACUUGAUAAAAAUAUAUCUUAUCCUCGUGUUUUGUUGUACCGUAAUUUCAUUCUUUUUAAAAAAAUUUGUCAUAAUCCUCUUGGUAUAGCAUGUUCAUGUUUGUGCUUCAUCAUCUGUAAGUUGUCAAAUUUUCGUCUAUCAUUUUCUUUUAUAAAUAAAUAGGAUAUCUCAUAAAAUGCUGAUGUGGGAAUUUGUUGGUCAUAAAUAAAUGGCCAUUUCAGAUUCGGAUGCUAGCUAAGCUGACUGAAGCUAUUUUGGCAGUGUUGAUUAUAAUUUUAGGCGUAAUUUGUUGUUUUUAUAAAACCUAAUUUCAUUGAGGAAAUUUUUUGAAUACUUAUAUAAACUUAGCAACUUUUCUUAAGUUAGUAUUUAAAUUUUUAACCAAAUUAAUCUCUUACUAUUAAAUUGUGAUAACAUGUCAUAUUAGCUUACAUUUGAAAAUAUAUUGGCGAUUCCUAAUUACUUCAUGCAGUCUAUGCUGAACCAUAAAGGC
Molecule: long non-coding RNA, 2962 nt
Filed under: Gossypium barbadense (sea-island cotton)
Lineage: Eukaryota; Viridiplantae; Streptophyta; Magnoliopsida; Malvales; Malvaceae
Description: long non-coding RNA (GBAR_LNC017722)
Source: RNAcentral